Molecule: unclassified non-coding RNA, 240 nt
Filed under: soil metagenome
Description: partial contains 5.8S ribosomal RNA, internal transcribed spacer 2, and large subunit ribosomal RNA
Source: RNAcentral
AACCUUAUGGACCUGCGGGCGUAUACCUGCGGAGGGAUCAUUACCGAGUUAGGGUGUCUGUUCGCAGCGCCCGACCUCCCAACCCUUUGUCUAUGAUACCUAAACAGUUGCUUCGGCGUGCCGAGGGGUCGUACCCUCGCCGGGCCUCACGGCCGGGAGCGCGCACGUCGACGGCCUUUAUCUAACACUUGAACCCAAAACCUGUCGUCUGAAAACUUGUGAUUAACCAACAAUCAAAAA